GAUGAAGAACGUAGCGAAAUGCGAUACGUAGUGUGAAUUGCAGAAUUCAGUGAAUCAUCGAAUCUUUGAACGCACAUUGCACCUCUCGGUAUUCCGGGAGGUAUGCCUGUUCGAGCGUCAUUUGUACCCUCAAGCUCUGCUUGGUGUUGGGUGUUUGUUCCGCCUCUGUGUGUGAACUCGCCUCAAAACAAUUGGCAGCCGGCGUACUUGUUUCGGAGCGCAGCACAUUUUGCGAUCCAGAUCAACGUACAGCGGCAUCCAAGAAGCCUUAUUUAACGCUCUUGACCUCGGAUCAGGUAGGGAUACCCGCUGAACUUAAGCAUAUCAAUAAGGCGGAGGA
This 340-nucleotide unclassified non-coding RNA is filed under the name soil metagenome. RNAcentral describes it as "partial contains 5.8S ribosomal RNA, internal transcribed spacer 2, and large subunit ribosomal RNA". The stretch from base 1 to 120 matches the Rfam family "5.8S ribosomal RNA", at positions 35 to 154 of the family's 154-position model. The record is from RNAcentral.